Molecule: ribosomal RNA, 242 nt
Filed under: uncultured bacterium
Lineage: Bacteria
Description: partial 16S ribosomal RNA
Rfam family: Bacterial small subunit ribosomal RNA
Source: RNAcentral
GGCGAACGGGUGAGUAACACGUAGGAAAUCUACCUAAUAGACCGGGAUAACCAUUGGAAACGAUGGCUAAUAAAGGAUGAGAUAUAUAAAUGAGAAAGAUAUAUUAAAAGGGUGCCAAGGCACUGCUAUUAGAUGAGCCUGCGGUGCAUUAGCUAGUUGGGGAGGUAAGGGCUUCCCAAGGCGACGAUGCAUAGCCGGACUGAGAGGUUGAACGGCCACAUUGGGACUGAGACACGGCCCAA